This 668-nucleotide long non-coding RNA is filed under the name Carassius auratus (goldfish). RNAcentral's name for it is "lncRNA (ENSCARG00000000422.1)". Lineage: Eukaryota; Metazoa; Chordata; Actinopteri; Cypriniformes; Cyprinidae. The record is from RNAcentral.
GUUCUUUGUGGCGAAAGAAGUUUCUUCAGGUUACAAAAAGGAAAAUGGAACCAAGGAGACAGCUACAUUUGGUAAGUUGAAUUCUACUUUAUGUUGUUAUGUAAAUUCACAGAAAUAAAAAUCUUGCACUUUUUAUCCAUAUAGGAAUGCAGUAUCAAGGUGUUGAAUGGCAUAGCAGAGAAAAAACAAUCCAAACACAAAGAAUCACAUCUUUCACUCGUUUGACAGUUCAAGACAAUGCCAACUUCACUGAAAAAGAAGGAUAUGUGCCGUGGAUGGAUACACCAGAGUAUCCGACACCAAACAAUAGCAGAUACUUCAUCCUGGAUGACAAUAAUGAAUCUCUGAAAGUCCUUCGCGAUGGAACAUACAAGGUUUCUCUUCAGAUUACGUACAAAAAAAUAUUCAGCGAAAACACAAGUGAAAUAUUUCUGCAACAUGAUAUUCGUCAUUGUACUGAGGCAUAUGAUGGAGCCCUGACCCUGCUCGUCCACUGUGAAACAGUCAACCUCAAAUACUGGACGAAAACUCUGUUCUCUGAGGGUAUUUUUUCUCUCAAAGCUGGGGACAGACUCAAGGUGUGGUCCAACAAUCGGAAACUCAUUGACUUUAAAGGGCAAAUUUCGCAAAAAACAGCCUUUGUGGCAUAUCCUCAUUUUUCCACAUGA